This 89-nucleotide small nucleolar RNA is filed under the name Nannospalax galili (Upper Galilee mountains blind mole rat). The record is from RNAcentral. Lineage: Eukaryota; Metazoa; Chordata; Mammalia; Rodentia; Spalacidae.
CAGGUGCCUAAAGAAAUGUCUUUCAUAUGGUCUGUUGGCCAUUUCAGAAAUUUGGAAAGGUAAUGGUCAAUUCAAUAAAAGAAAUGUGC